Long non-coding RNA from Solanum tuberosum (potato), 258 nucleotides. RefSeq lists it as uncharacterized. The transcript is spliced from 3 exons. Lineage: Eukaryota; Viridiplantae; Streptophyta; Magnoliopsida; Solanales; Solanaceae. The record is from RefSeq and is a predicted model, not a curated record.
UAAUUAGCCUGGUCCAAAUAUCAAUGCAAGCACUGUCUACAUUGAGUUAUGCAAUGCAGUAGUAUCGAAACUUGAUAAUCGUGUUAUAUACCAUAAUGGGACUUCGAAUCCUCCAACCUUCAUUUUAGGUCCGAAGUACUUAGCAAGUAAUGUUUACCAACAGAGCCCAAUUGAGGAUUUGGCGUUGGCCACUACACUAGUAAGGGAAAUAUUUUUUUACAGUGUGGAGGAUGUUUCUAACGAGAUAAUUCUUUCGAG